AGUGCCCUAGAAGCUAUUCAUUACGAAUUCACUGGAAGCUCUCAAACGAGGCUGGCAGAAGCUGAAAUUGAAGUGGUCUCUGACCUAAUUUUCUUCUGCGUGAAACAUCUGCAUCAAGGCUCUCUUUGAUGUAUUCCACUUGGCUCUGUCUAUGGGAUUGUAUCACAUGGCCUCGGUGUUGCCUCCUUAUUGAAAGACAUUUCCAGCCUGUGCAAGCAACCGUGAUGAGGCGUCUUCUUUAUGCUGGCAGAAUAGCUCUUGCCUUCUCCGUAGAGGCCUGCUGACCUGUCUUGUUAAUGGUGUGCUGCUGUUCCCCACCAUCCCAGCAUUAUGAAGUCCUCCAUCAUCCUCCUCACUGUCCUAAGCCUCGAGGUAAUGCAGCAUGCAAGAACAGCCGUGUUUCCCUCCAACAAAGCACUUUGAAUUUUGUAUCAUCUGUCUUAUCAGGCUGUGACAUCUUGGAUGCAAAGAUAGCAUCUAUCUUUGGAGUCACAGUGUCGUCCACAAAUAGUCUAAUGAAUUCAUCCCAAAUUGCUCAAGAUUUACUUGGUUUUAGUACAGAAAGUCUGCUGUCCUGGAACACCUCAUUUUUGGGCAUACUACUGAGUACAAAAAGAGUGCCUGGCAAACAG
Fukomys damarensis (Damara mole-rat) is the source of this 632-nucleotide long non-coding RNA. RefSeq lists it as uncharacterized. The record is from RefSeq and is a predicted model, not a curated record. The transcript is spliced from 4 exons. Lineage: Eukaryota; Metazoa; Chordata; Mammalia; Rodentia; Bathyergidae.